This 75-nucleotide transfer RNA is filed under the name Fasciola gigantica. RNAcentral describes it as "tRNA-Val". The record is from RNAcentral. Lineage: Eukaryota; Metazoa; Platyhelminthes; Trematoda; Plagiorchiida; Fasciolidae.
AGCCCUGAUAGUUUUAUGGUUAAGGUGUUCGAUUCACAAUCGUUCAUUCCGGGUUCGAGUCCCCGUGGGGGGCUG